Xyrichtys novacula (pearly razorfish) is the source of this 122-nucleotide non-coding RNA. The record is from the annotation of a GenBank genome assembly. NCBI's taxonomy places the organism in Eukaryota, Metazoa, Chordata, Actinopteri, Labriformes, Labridae.
AAUUAGAGAAGAGAGAGAGAGAGGGAAAGAAGAGAGCAGGAGGACAGGAAAUCAGAAGAGCUGCUGAAGUCAGCUUCUUCUCCCUAUCCUCCUCUUCCUUCACUUCCCUCUCACUUUUCAGC